CCAGCAGCUGCGGUAAUUCCAACUCCAAGAGUGUAUCUUAAUGUUGCUGCAGUUAAAAAGCUCGUAGUUGAACCUCUGGCUAGUGAGGGCCCGCAUGGGCCGUUCGCUAGUCAUCCGCUCGGAGAAGCAGUAUUUCCUUAACCGGUUUUACUGUAGACCCAGCAUUUUACUUUGAAGAAAUUAGAGUGUUCCUGGCAGGCCUAGCUUGCAUAUAUUAGCAUGGAAUAAUGGAAUAGGACCUUGUCUGUUUUAUUGGUUGACAGAUAGGUAAUGAUUAACAGGGACAGUCGGGGGCAUUCGUACUCAGUGGCUAGAGGUGAAAUUCUUAGAUUCGCUGAAGACGCACUAAUGCGAAAGCAUUUGCCAAGGAUGUUUUCAUUAAUCAAGAACGAAAGU
This 396-nucleotide ribosomal RNA is filed under the name uncultured eukaryote. Its description in RNAcentral is "SSU rRNA". It matches the Rfam family "Eukaryotic small subunit ribosomal RNA", at positions 567 to 990 of the family's 1831-position model. The record is from RNAcentral.